This is a non-coding RNA of Pelobates cultripes (western spadefoot toad), 631 nucleotides long. Lineage: Eukaryota; Metazoa; Chordata; Amphibia; Anura; Pelobatidae. The record is from the annotation of a GenBank genome assembly.
CUUAAAUAUGCCAAUCCCACACAAUGAUAAUAAGGGAGUUAUCUACUAAACAAUUUAAAUAUCAAAAUUAAGACAAGGGCUUUUAAAGAUAUAUUACUUAUAUACAUUAUCUAUAAUCUAUAUUAUAUAUUUGAUGUGUGGCCCAAGACAAUUCCUCUGCGCUCAAUGGGGCCCAGGAAAGUCAAAAGGUUGGACACCCAUGCUUUACAACAUUAAUUUGUGGUAUAAGCCAAAGGAGUAUGUAAUUCUGGUGACAUCUAAUGUAACAAAUACGCAACUACAGGUGACUUCUAUAAUCACAGAACUCUAUGUCACUCUGUAGCGGUGUUUUGGAUGUCAAUAAAGCUUGUUUGCGUUUCACUUGGGACAUGCAUGCCCGCCGGGCCCUUUUGUACGGUGGCAAUGCAUGAUGAGAUUCUGUGCGCCAGGGCAUGCGACGGAUUCGAAGGAGAUGUCCGUGUGUGCAUGCGCUAUGACCCGAGUGAGGGCUAAGAUCACCGUAUUUAGGAAGAUACAAGUGACGAGAAGUUCAGAUUCAUAUUGGCUCUUGAGGAAGUUCUGUCCGAGACGGGACGAAACACAUAGAGCAGCACCAGCACCAGCAGUAUCAGCAUCUACAUCUUGUACAUAG